This 497-nucleotide ribosomal RNA is filed under the name uncultured bacterium. Its description in RNAcentral is "partial 16S ribosomal RNA". It matches the Rfam family "Bacterial small subunit ribosomal RNA", at positions 28 to 507 of the family's 1533-position model. The record is from RNAcentral.
GAUGAACGCUGGCGGCGUGCCUAAUGCAUGCAAGUCGAGCGAACAGACGAGGAGCUUGCUCCUUUGACGUUAGCGGCGGACGGGUGAGUAACACGUGGGUAACCUACCUAUAAGACUGGGAUAACUUCGGGAAACCGGAGCUAAUACCGGAUAAUAUUUCGAACCGCAUGAUUCGAUAGUGAAAGAUGGCUUUGCUAUCACUUAUAGAUGGACCUGCGCCGUAUUAGCUAGUUGGUAAGGUAACGGCUUACCAAGGCAACGAUACGUAGCCGACCUGAGAGGGUGAUCGGCCACACUGGAACUGAGACACGGUCCAGACUCCUACGGGAGGCAGCAGUAGGGAAUCUUCCGCAAUGGGCGAAAGCCUGACGGAGCAACGCCGCGUGAGUGAUGAAGGUCUUCGGAUCGUAAAACUCUGUUAUUAGGGAAGAACAAACGUGUAAGUAACUGUGCACGUCUUGACGGUACCUAAUCAGAAAGCCACGGCUAACUACGUG